Molecule: ribosomal RNA, 650 nt
Filed under: uncultured bacterium
Lineage: Bacteria
Description: bacterial SSU rRNA
Rfam family: Bacterial small subunit ribosomal RNA
Source: RNAcentral
GCGGCAGACGGGUGAGUAACGCGUGGGAACGUAGCUUUUGGUUCGGAACAACACAGGGAAACUUGUGCUAAUACCGGAUAAGCCCUUACGGGGAGAGAUUUAUCGCCGAAAGAUCGGCCCGCGUCUGAUUAGCUAGUUGGUGAGGUGACGGCGCACCGAGGCGACGAUCAGUAUUGGGUGUGAGAGGAUGGUCGGCCGCGUUGGGACUGAGCCAGGGUCAAACUUUCUACGGGAGGCAGCAGUGGGGAAUAUUGGACAAUGGGGGCAACCCUGAUCCAGCCAUGCCGCGUGAGUGAUGAAGGCCCUAGGGUUGUAAAGCUCUUUUGUGCGGGAAGAUAAUGACGGUACCGCAAGAAUAAGCCCCGGCUAACUUCGUGCCAGCAGCCGCGGUAAUACGAAGGGGGCUAGCGUUGCUCGGAAUCACUGGGCGUAAAGGGUGCGUAGGCGGGUCUUUAAGUCAGAGGUGAAAUCCUGGAGCUCAACUCCAGAACUGCCUUUGAUACUGAGGAUCUCGAGUUCGGGAGAGGUGAGUGGAACUGCGAGUGUAGAGGUGAAAUUCGUAGAUAUUCGCAAGAACACCAGUGGCGAAGGCGGCUCACUGGCCCGAUACUGACGCUGAGGCACGAAAGCGUGGGGAGCAAACAGGAUUA